UACGUAGGGUCGCGAGCGUUGUCCGGAAUUACUGGGCGUAAAGAGCUCGUAGGUGGUUUGUCGCGUUGUUCGUGAAAACUCACAGCUACUAUGGUGGCGCGGGGCGAUACGGGCAGACUUGAGUACUGCAGGGGAGACUGGAAUUCCUGGUGCAGCGGUGGAAUGCGCAGAUAUCAGGAGGAACACCGGUGGCGAAGGCGGGUCUCUGGGCAGUAACUGACGCUGAGGAGCGAAAGCGUGGGGAGCGAACAGG
This 253-nucleotide ribosomal RNA is filed under the name uncultured bacterium. RNAcentral describes it as "partial 16S ribosomal RNA". It matches the Rfam family "Bacterial small subunit ribosomal RNA", at positions 524 to 776 of the family's 1533-position model. The record is from RNAcentral.